RNAcentral lists this unclassified non-coding RNA (520 nucleotides) under uncultured Glomus. RNAcentral describes it as "SSU rRNA". It matches the Rfam family "Eukaryotic small subunit ribosomal RNA", at positions 569 to 1086 of the family's 1831-position model. The record is from RNAcentral. Lineage: Eukaryota; Fungi; Glomeromycota; Glomeromycetes; Glomerales; Glomeraceae.
AGCAGCCGCGGUAAUUCCAGCUCCAAUAGCGUAUAUUAAAGUUGUUGCAGUUAAAAAGCUCGUAGUUGAAUUUCGGGGUCAGUAGGUCGGUCGUGCCACUGGUAUGAACUGGUUUUACUGAUUCCUCCCUCUUGAAGAACUGUAAUGCCAUUAAUUUGGUGUUGCAGGGAAUCAGGACUGUUACUUUGAAAAAAUUUAGAGUGUUUAAAGCAGGCUUUAGCUUGAAUACAUUAGCAUAGAAUAAUGAAAUAGGACGUUUGAUCCUAUUUUGUUGGUUUCUAGGAUUGACGUAAUGAUUAAUAGGGAUAGUUGGGGGCAUUAGUAUUCAAUUGUCAGAGGUGAAAUUCUUGGAUUUAUUGAAGACUAACUACUGCGAAAGCAUUUUGCCAAGGAUGUUUUUCAUUAAUCAAGAACGAAAGUUAGGGGAUCGAAGACGAUCAGAUACCGUCGUAGUCUUAACCAUAAACUAUGCCGACUAGGGAUCGGAUGAUGUUAAUUUUUUUAAUGACUCAUUCGGCGC